ACGAACGCUGGCGGCGUGCCUAAUACAUGCAAGUCGAACGGUCUUUCUAUGGAAGCUUGCUUCCACUGAGAAGAUAGUGGCGAACGGGUGAGUAACACGUGGGUAACCUGCCCAUAAGAGGGGGAUAACAUCCGGAAACGGGUGCUAAUACCGCAUAGUUUUCUUGAUCGCAUGAUCGGGAAAGGAAAGACGGCCUUUGUGCUGUCGCUUAUGGAUGGACCCGCGGCGUAUUAGUUAGUUGGUGAGGUAAUGGCUCACCAAGACGAUGAUACGUAGCCGACCUGAGAGGGUGAUCGGCCACAUUGGGACUGAGACACGGCCCAAACUCCUACGGGAGGCAGCAGUAGGGAAUCUUCCGCAAUGGACGAAAGUCUGACGGAGCAACGCCGCGUGAGUGAAGAAAGGUUUUCGGAUCGUAAAACUCUGUUGUCAGAGAAGAACAAGUUGGAGAGUAACUGCUCCAGCCUUGACGGUAUCUGACCAGAAAGCCACGGCUAACUACGUGCCAGCCGCAGC
Molecule: ribosomal RNA, 516 nt
Filed under: uncultured bacterium
Lineage: Bacteria
Description: bacterial SSU rRNA
Rfam family: Bacterial small subunit ribosomal RNA
Source: RNAcentral